GUUUGAGGCCAUACCACAUAGAACUCACCCGGUCUCGUCAACUCCCGGAAGUUAAGCUAUGUCGGGUCCCGUUUGUACUUGGAUGGGUGACCGCUUGGAAAUACGGGAUGCUGUUGGCA
RNAcentral lists this ribosomal RNA (119 nucleotides) under Daphnia pulex (common water flea). The record is from RNAcentral. Lineage: Eukaryota; Metazoa; Arthropoda; Branchiopoda; Diplostraca; Daphniidae.